GUGGAGAGCGGCGGACGGGUGAGUAACGCGUAGGCAACCUGCCCUUUACACAGGGAUAGCCACUGGAAACGGUGAUUAAAACCUGAUGAUACCAUGAACUCACAUGUUUUCAUGGUCAAAGAUUUAUCGGUAAGGGAUGGGCCUGCGUCUGAUUAGCUAGUUGGUGAGGUAACGGCCCACCAAGGCAACGAUCAGUAGCCGACCUGAGAGGGUGAUCGGCCACAUUGGAACUGAGACACGGUCCAAACUCCUACGGGAGGCAGCAGUGGGGAAUAUUGCACAAUGGGCGAAAGCCUGAUGCAGCAACGCCGCGUGAAGGAUGAAGGCCUUCGGGUUGUAAACUUCUGUCCUUGGGGAAGAUAAUGACGGUACCCUUGGAGGAAGCCCCGGCUAACUACGUGCCAGCAGCCGCGGUAAUACGUAGGGGGCGAGCGUUAUCCGGAAUUAUUGGGCGUAAAGAGUGCGUAGGUGGUUACCUAAGCAGGGGGUGAAAGGCAUUGGCCUAACCAAUGUUAGCCCCCUGAACUGGGCUACUUGAGUGCAGGAGGGGAAAGUGGAAUUCCUAGUGUAGCGGUGAAAUGCGUAGAUAUUAGGAGGAACACCAGUGGCGAAGGCGACUUUCUGGACUGUUACUGACACUGAGGCACGAAAGUGUGGGGAGCAAACAGGAUUAGAUACCCUGGUAGUCCACACCGUAAACGAUGAGCACUAGGUGUCGGGUAUUAAUACUCGGUGCCGCAGUUAACGCAUUAAGUGCUCCGCCUGGGGAGUACGUACGCAAGUAUGAAACUCAAAGGAAUUGACGGGGACCCGCACAAGCAGCGGAGCAUGUGGUUUAAUUCGAAGCAACGCGAAGAACCUUACCAGGUCUUGACAUCUCCUUGAAACUCCUGAUAACGAUGAGCCUC
This 908-nucleotide ribosomal RNA is filed under the name uncultured bacterium. Its description in RNAcentral is "bacterial SSU rRNA". It matches the Rfam family "Bacterial small subunit ribosomal RNA", at positions 88 to 1018 of the family's 1533-position model. The record is from RNAcentral.